This is a long non-coding RNA of Mus musculus (house mouse), 475 nucleotides long. RefSeq annotates it as predicted gene, 35430. The record is from RefSeq and is a predicted model, not a curated record. Lineage: Eukaryota; Metazoa; Chordata; Mammalia; Rodentia; Muridae. The transcript has 6 exons.
GCAACCUGUGGGUCUCUGAGGCUCUGGCAUGUGUCCUCUGUCAGUGGAUCUGCACGCAAUCUUGCAGAAGAUGGAGAUACUAAGCGGAGAGGAGUCCAACGUUAUCACCACAGACGUGAAGAUUCAUUACUUUUGCCACUUUCAAAACUCUCUAGCACUGAGGAUUUAAACCCAGAACCUUACUUAGCACAUGCUACAGAAGAGCUCUACCACUGAGCUACACGAUUAAUUCCAGUAACUUCAUCUAUAAAGAAUGCUGAGAGGAUUGAUGUAUGCUUCGGUAGACUGCCCAUGUUAACAAUGGGUCAUGCCGUCAUCUAUGUUGAGAACAGGCUUCAGAGUCAAGCCUGCUUAGAGAGAACCAAAGCAGGAGGGAGUGGCUUCUGCUUUGAAAAAUCAGAAUCCGGAUGAAGAAAAUAUGGAUGAAUUUAAACAUAAUGAAUUUAAAAAUUUGAAAACACUGAAUAAAACUGUU